AAAGACGUAAAUACCAGCAAGAGAAAAAUACUCGGAGAAAACUGAACUUCUCUUCUUUCUGUGCAAAAAUAAGGCACAAUGCCCAUUCAACUCCAUGUCUCACUGAGAGUACAGGUGCUGUGAGGGAAUGGCAUUAUGGGGACUCAGCCCUAGCUGGGACCCUGCCUGAAGGAUAAGUAAAAAGGAAAGAAAGGAAAACACCACAUCUUCCAAUACACUGUUGAAACGUUAUACACUUCUCUGGUCUCUUUAUUUAGGCCAUCCAACUGUAUU
Long non-coding RNA from Esox lucius (northern pike), 273 nucleotides. RefSeq lists it as uncharacterized. NCBI's taxonomy places the organism in Eukaryota, Metazoa, Chordata, Actinopteri, Esociformes, Esocidae. The transcript has 3 exons. The record is from RefSeq and is a predicted model, not a curated record.